This 254-nucleotide ribosomal RNA is filed under the name uncultured bacterium. RNAcentral's name for it is "partial 16S ribosomal RNA". It matches the Rfam family "Bacterial small subunit ribosomal RNA", at positions 524 to 776 of the family's 1533-position model. The record is from RNAcentral.
UACGUAGGGUGCGAGCGUUGUCCGGAAUUAUUGGGCGUAAAGAGCUCGUAGGCGGUGUGUCACGUCGUUCGUGAAAACCUGCAGCUUAACUGUGGGCGUGCGGUCGAUACGGGCAUCACUGGAGUUCGGCAGGGGAGACUGGAAUUCCUGGUGUAGCGGUGAAAUUCGCAGAUAUCAGGAGGAACACCGGUGGCGAAGGCGGGUCUCUGGGCAGUAACUGACGCUGAGGAGCGAAAGCGUGGGGAGCGAACAGG